This is a long non-coding RNA of Oncorhynchus keta (chum salmon), 748 nucleotides long. RefSeq lists it as uncharacterized. NCBI's taxonomy places the organism in Eukaryota, Metazoa, Chordata, Actinopteri, Salmoniformes, Salmonidae. The record is from RefSeq and is a predicted model, not a curated record. The transcript is spliced from 4 exons.
GGAGAGAACACAGAGAGAAGAAGGGAAAGGGGGAGGUGGAGGAGAUGGGGAGGAGAGAACACAGAGAGAAGAAGGGAAAGGGGGAGGUGGAGGAGAUGGGGAGGAGAGAACACAGAGAGAAGAAGGGAAAGGGGGAGGUGGAGGAGAUGGGGAGGAGAGAACACAGAGAGAAGAAGGGAAAGGGGGAGGUGGAGGAGAUGGGGAGGAGAGAACACAGAGAGAAGAAGGGAAAGGGGGAGGUGGAGGAGAUGGGGAGGAGAGAACACAGAGAGAAGAAGGGAAAGGGGGAGGUGGAGGAGAUGGGGAGGAGAGAACACAGAGAGAAGAAGGGAAAGGGGGAGGUGGAGGAGAUGGGGAGGAGAGAACACAGAGAGAAGAAGGGAAAGGGGGAGGUGGAGGAGAUGGGGAGGAGAGAACACAGAGAGAAGAAGGGAAAGGGGAGGUGGAGGAGAUGGGGAGGAGAGAACACAGAGAGAAGAAGGGAAAGGGGAGGUGGAGGAGAUGGGGAGGAGAGAACACAGAGAGAAGAAGGGAAAGGGGGAGGUGGAGGAGAUGGGGAGGAGAGAACACAGAGAGAAGAAGGGAAAGGGGGAGGUGGAGGAGAUGGGGAGGAGAGAACACAGAGAGAAGAAGGGAAAUGAGGAGAGAAAGAGGAGAAAGAAGACAAGUUCAGCACGAGUGGGGAGCGCAUCAUCAAAUCUCUGUAUGGAACUUCAACAAUGAAUGUGAUUGGUCUAAAAGUAUUUAC